Molecule: ribosomal RNA, 496 nt
Filed under: uncultured bacterium
Lineage: Bacteria
Description: partial 16S ribosomal RNA
Rfam family: Bacterial small subunit ribosomal RNA
Source: RNAcentral
AUGAACGCUGGCGGCGUGCCUAAUACAUGCCAGUCGAGCGAACAGACGAGGAGCUUGCUCCUUUGACGUUAGCGGCGGACGGGUGAGUAACACGUGGGUAACCUACCUAUAAGACUGGGAUAACUUCGGGAAACCGGAGCUAAUACCGGAUAAUAUUUCGAACCGCAUGGUUCGAUAGUGAAAGAUGGCUUUGCUAUCACUUAUAGAUGGACCUGCGCCGUAUUAGCUAGUUGGUAAGGUAACGGCUUACCAAGGCAACGAUACGUAGCCGACCUGAGAGGGUGAUCGGCCACACUGGAACUGAGACACGGUCCAGACUCCUACGGGAGGCAGCAGUAGGGAAUCUUCCGCAAUGGGCGAAAGCCUGACGGAGCAACGCCGCGUGAGUGAUGAAGGUCUUCGGAUCGUAAAACUCUGUUAUUAGGGAAGAACAAACGUGUAAGUAACUGUGCACGUCUUGACGGUACCUAAUCAGAAAGCCACGGCUAACUACGUG